Molecule: long non-coding RNA, 1376 nt
Filed under: Calidris pugnax (ruff)
Lineage: Eukaryota; Metazoa; Chordata; Aves; Charadriiformes; Scolopacidae
Description: lncRNA (ENSCPUG00000000757.1)
Source: RNAcentral
GGGAAGGCCUAGAAAGGGGGAGGUGAGGCUGGUGCAGGGCAAAACCGGCGACUUCACUGAACCCUUCUCUCGCUUGGCUUCUUCUCUGGGUGGGAGAGGACCCCAGGUCUGGUGGUGCUGGUGGCAUCAGGAACCUCAUGGGCGUGAGGAGCAGCCGCUGGGCUGGGAGCUGUGCUCCCCGGGCUCUCCCCCCGCCGCCCCUCUCCGAGCUGUUAAAUAUCUGUACCAUAAAACGUGGGGGAUUUAAAGGUCUGUGGGAGGCUCCCUUUGAAAAGGACUCUGGGGAAAGUCUUUCUAAUCCAGGAUACUUGAGCCGGAUGGGGUGGGAUUGCCAGAAGAGGCAUAAAAUAAAAGUCGUUGCGCAGACGAGCCGAGGGGCUACGCUGACACGAAGAAAGCGCCGUCGCCUCAGCGUUCUGUUUUGUUUUGUUGGAGACUGGGAUUUCUGGUGUGCUGGUGCCUGUGUGGAGAGUCCUGAGCCCGGCAGGAGAGUGGCAGAAAUAGAGAGGGCUGGGGGGGACGGUGGGGACAGGCAUGUGAGCCAACCUGCAGCCCCCCGGCCCGGGCGGCCUGAGCACCAGUGGGCAGAGAGAGCACGUCAGAAAAAUAAACGCUCCUCCAGAAACAUAAGGAAAACAUUAAAUAAGCAGGGAGUGCGCUCCCUCUCCUCUCCUCUCCUCUCCUCUCCUCUCCUCUCCCUGACAAAACGUGGCCCAGAAACUCCUCCGGCUCCUUCUCCGGCCCCGUGUCCCGGCCGCCGUGGGGAUGCGUGGGGCAGGCGUGUUGGGAGAUGGCCAUGGGUCGCCCAAGAGCCCCGGCUAAAGCCCCCCGUGGAGGGUUUGCCAGCCCAGGGCCAGCAGUGGGGCAGGGCAGGGCAGGAGGAGAGCCCCACCGGGGGGAGAGGCUGCUGGAUGGCCGUGGGAGAGGGGCAGAGGGGAGAAAACAAAAGCUGCUCCUUGGCUGGAGAGGGGAUGGGAGAAGAGGGAAGGCGAGAGGAUGCUGGAGAGCCUGGUUACCCUCCAUUGAGGGGGGGGAAACACCCCACAACAAUAACAACCCGAACCCAUAAACAGUUUCUGCCUUUCCGCGAUAAAAGGAGCAGAUUUAUGUUGCAAGGAGCCCGUUCCAGCUCAAAACCCCGGGCUGCAGCACUGUGUUUGUGUGGCUCAUCCCCAUGAGGUAUGGGUGGCAGAGUUCAGGCUGACAUCAGUCCUGGGGAGUCAGAGCCAGCGGCCGGGCUGGGCUGCCCAUGGGCCAGUGGCCGGGGGGCUACCAGCAUGGGGGGCACCCGGCUGGUAAAAUACCCCGCCUCUGGCCACUCCCGGGGCCGUGAGGAGCCGACAGCAGCACACACGGCUGAGGGAGCUGGAUGUGGG